Molecule: long non-coding RNA, 534 nt
Organism: Cynara cardunculus var. scolymus (artichoke)
Lineage: Eukaryota; Viridiplantae; Streptophyta; Magnoliopsida; Asterales; Asteraceae
Exons: 2
Source: RefSeq, a predicted model, not a curated record
GACUGGUUUGACUUAAAUCGCUUGAUGAGGAUGUGAGGUUUUGCCCAAAUCACUUGAUACAGUAACUGUUUAAAGGUGUGAAGGGUUUCAUCUGGAUUUGAUGCAAUUUCUAAGAGUAAAUCGCAUAUAUUCAUUCUUCAGAUCUAGUAAAUCGGUCACUAAAUCGCUCAGCUAAAUCGCUCACCUUUAUUGCUGGAGGAUUGAAGAUGUUGUUUUGAAGAUGAAGAUGAAGAUGAAGAUGUUGUGAGAUCGGUGCACUUCUCUACCCGAGCAUUAAAUUGAAUUUGCAAUUCCUGAAAUUGUUUUUAUAAACACCACUUGAAACCUGUGAUCGGGGUAAUUCUUUGCUCUGCUGAUUGGUAUAGGCAGCCAUGGUACUUAAAAUAGAAGCAGCAAAUGGUGAAUCAGUAGUUUGUUUAUAGAUUUAAAGCUGUUUGUUGUAGACCUAAUUGAAUUGCAUAUUUUGGUUUGUUGUGUUUGCUGUAGAGAUUGCCGUCAGCAUUUGAAUAAUUGUGUUAUGCACCUGUUGUUUUG